UGAACUCACUACUGUAAGUCUGUCUGGAUAAGAGUGUCUGCUAAAUGACUAACA
Salmo salar (Atlantic salmon) is the source of this 54-nucleotide non-coding RNA. Lineage: Eukaryota; Metazoa; Chordata; Actinopteri; Salmoniformes; Salmonidae. The record is from Rfam.